GCCGUGUAGUGGGGGAUAACGUAGCGAAAGUUACGCUAAUACCGCAUACGCACCGAGGUGGAAAGCAGGGGAUCGCAAGACCCUGCGCUAUACGAGCGGCCGAUGUCAGAUUAGCUAGUUGGUAGGGUAAAGGCCUACCAAGGCGACGAUCUGUAGCGGGUUUGAGAGGAUGAUUCGCCCCCCUGGGACUGAGACCCGGCCCCGACUCCUUCGGGAGGCAGCAGUGGGGAAUUUUGGACAAUGGGGGAAACCCUGAUCCAGCCCUGCCGCGUGAGUGAAGAAGGCCUUCGGGUUGUAAAGCUCUUUUGGCUGGGAAGAAAUCGCACCGGCUAAUACUCUGUGUGGAUGACGGUACCAGCAUAAGAAGCCCCGGCUAACUACGUG
Molecule: ribosomal RNA, 384 nt
Filed under: uncultured bacterium
Lineage: Bacteria
Description: bacterial SSU rRNA
Rfam family: Bacterial small subunit ribosomal RNA
Source: RNAcentral